Molecule: non-coding RNA, 97 nt
Organism: Mycena olivaceomarginata
Lineage: Eukaryota; Fungi; Basidiomycota; Agaricomycetes; Agaricales; Mycenaceae
Source: the annotation of a GenBank genome assembly
GCACCCUUGGUGUAUGGAAACACACAUCUCACAGUUGUCAUUUGACCGAUAAUCAACUAAUCAAGUUGAGUCCGGGGUUUGAAUCCCCGAGGGUGCA